AUCGAGGUAUCAUAUUUCGUUCUUCACAAAAAUGUGUGCACACUGGUGCAACUCACUCCAAUCUAUACAUAUACAUGGACGGAAAAUCUAAUUAGUUUUAUUAUCGUGGGAUGUUCGCAUAAAUCAAUAUUAUGUUAGAACAAUGUUCCAAUUUCAAAAUUAUAAUUUAAAAAAAAAAAAAAACGUAGGGAAAGCAAAAUUAUGGAAGUGGAAGAAGAGAUGAAAUUUUUUAGGUAAAAUUGAAACAGUAAAUUUUAAAUUUAAUUAAUUUUGAUGGAAUUGAAGAUGUGUAGCUUCCAUUCUCUGUGGAUUUUUUUUUUUUAAAGAAGAUAAUUUUUUGUGAUCUUUG
RNAcentral lists this long non-coding RNA (349 nucleotides) under Carica papaya (papaya). RNAcentral's name for it is "long non-coding RNA (CPAP_LNC014503)". Lineage: Eukaryota; Viridiplantae; Streptophyta; Magnoliopsida; Brassicales; Caricaceae. The record is from RNAcentral.